GCGGGUGUAGCACAGUGGUAGUGCACUUGCUUGCCAAGCAAGAUACGACGGUCCGAUUCCGUUCACCCGCUCCA
RNAcentral lists this transfer RNA (74 nucleotides) under Candidatus Portnoybacteria bacterium RIFCSPLOWO2_02_FULL_39_11. Its description in RNAcentral is "tRNA-Gly". It matches the Rfam family "tRNA". Rfam says of the family: Transfer RNA (tRNA) molecules are approximately 80 nucleotides in length. Their secondary structure includes four short double-helical elements and three loops (D, anti-codon, and T loops). Lineage: Bacteria; Candidatus Portnoyibacteriota. The record is from RNAcentral.